CCUACGGGAGGCAGCAGUGAGGAAUAUUGGUCAAUGGACGAAAGUCUGAACCAGCCAAGUAGCGUGAAGGAUGACUGCCCUAUGGGCUGUAACCUUCUUUUAUAUGGGAAUAAAAUGUUCCACGUGUGGGAUUUUGUAUGUACCAUAUGAAUAAGGAUCGGCUAACUCCGUGCCAGCAGCCGCGGUCAUACGGAGGAUACGAGCGUUACCCGGAUUUAUUGGGUUUAACGGGAGCGUAGGUGGAUUGUUAAGUCAGUUGUGAAAGUUUGCGGCUCAACCGUACAAUUGCAGUUGAAACUGGCAGUCUUGAGUACGUGAGAGGUGAGUGGAAUUCGUGGUGUAGCGGUGAAAUGCUUAGAUAUCACGAAGAACUCCGAUUGCGAAGGCAGCUCACUGGACUAUAACUGACACUGAGGCUCGAAAGUGUGGGUAUCAAACAGGAUUAGAUACCCGAGUAGUC
Molecule: ribosomal RNA, 460 nt
Filed under: uncultured bacterium
Lineage: Bacteria
Description: partial 16S ribosomal RNA
Rfam family: Bacterial small subunit ribosomal RNA
Source: RNAcentral